UACGGAGGAUGCGAGCGUUAUCCGGAUUUAUUGGGUUUAAAGGGUGCGUAGGCUGAAUAUCAAGUCAGCGGUGAAACGUUACAGCUUAACUGUGACCGUGCCGUUGAAACUGUUAUUCUGGAGUGCGAGCGAGGUAGGCGGAAUGUGCCGUGUAGCGGUGAAAUGCAUAGAUAUGGCACGGAACUCCGAUUGCGAAGGCAGCUUACCAGUACGCUACUGACGCUGAGGCACGAAAGCGUGGGUAUCGAACAGG
This 253-nucleotide ribosomal RNA is filed under the name uncultured bacterium. Its description in RNAcentral is "partial 16S ribosomal RNA". It matches the Rfam family "Bacterial small subunit ribosomal RNA", at positions 524 to 776 of the family's 1533-position model. The record is from RNAcentral.